This 459-nucleotide ribosomal RNA is filed under the name uncultured bacterium. Its description in RNAcentral is "partial 16S ribosomal RNA". It matches the Rfam family "Bacterial small subunit ribosomal RNA", at positions 338 to 795 of the family's 1533-position model. The record is from RNAcentral.
CCUACGGGAGGCAGCAGUGAGGAAUAUUGGUCAAUGGGCGGGAGCCUGAACCAGCCAAGCCGCGUGAGGGAAGAAGGUACAGCGUAUCGUAAACCUCUUUUGUCAGGGAACAAAGGCGGGGACUAGUCCCCGGAUGAGGGUACCUGAAGAAAAAGCAUCGGCUAACUCCGUGCCAGCAGCCGCGGUAAGACGGAGGAUGCGAGCGUUAUCCGGAUUUAUUGGGUUUAAAGGGUGCGCAGGCGGCCUGUUAAGUCAGCGGUAAAAGCCCGGGGCUCAACCCCGGCGAGCCGUUGAAACUGGCGGGCUGGAGUUGGAGAGAAGUACGCGGAAUGCGCGGUGUAGCGGUGAAAUGCUUAGAUAUCGCGCAGAACCCCGAUUGCGAAGGCAGCGUACCGGCUCCACACUGACGCUGAGGCACGAAAGCGUGGGUAGCGAACAGGAUUAGAUACCCCUGUAGUC